Lepidothrix coronata (blue-crowned manakin) is the source of this 717-nucleotide long non-coding RNA. RefSeq lists it as uncharacterized. The record is from RefSeq and is a predicted model, not a curated record. Lineage: Eukaryota; Metazoa; Chordata; Aves; Passeriformes; Pipridae. The transcript is spliced from 7 exons.
UUUCUUGCUAGUGAUGAGUACAGCAGUGUGGAAUAACAGCUCAUACAAAGAGACUCCUGUUGAUGUACAAACUCUCUUAGCAAUGUGGAUUGAUUUUUCUUGGUUGGGACCAAAACUAGCUGCGCAGAGGCUUUCCAGGAGGGAGAUCAUACUAGAGAUAAACAGGUCCUGACGCUGCGGUCCAGGAGAAGGUCCACAAACCCACUCCAAGACCCCUUGGCUUUGCUGGAAUUUUCAUCCCAGACGACUAUUGAGGCUAUUUGCAGGAUUACAGUGAGCAGCAGCGUGAGCUCUGGCUUCAAAUUCUUAACUGGCCAGAAGCUUGAGUCUGUCUGUCCCGAUACUACACCACUCAAAGUGACCCCUCUGCCUCAUCUCUGGAAGAAAAGUGAGGUCUGUUGUGACAGAUUCAUGCAUAUGCUCGCCCUUGCUUCAGGGUAAAGACCCGCAGUGACGCUGACUUGCAAAAUACAAUGAAGACACAGGUUAGCAGGAUACUGUGACAUGUCACGCUGACACCAUGCAGUCCAGGCCUUGCCCUCAACAAUGUUUAAGAAAGACAGGAGGCAGUGCUGUUUUUCCUUGUUACCCAAGCUUGAGACAAUGACAGAGCCAGUAGACAACACCUGCAACCAGGGCAACCAGCAGAAGACCGACCACAAUUCCCACUAUUAGCUUUGCCUGGUCAUUAACUUUUUCGCUAUUGUCAUCUGAAGC